This 441-nucleotide ribosomal RNA is filed under the name uncultured bacterium. Its description in RNAcentral is "partial 16S ribosomal RNA". It matches the Rfam family "Bacterial small subunit ribosomal RNA", at positions 338 to 795 of the family's 1533-position model. The record is from RNAcentral.
CCUACGGGUGGCAGCAGUGGGGAAUAUUGCACAAUGGGCGAAAGCCUGAUGCAGCAACGCCGCGUGAAGGAAGAAGGCCUUCGGGUCGUAAACUUCUGUCCUUGGGGAAGAAGAACUGACGGUACCCAAGGAGGAAGCCCCGGCUAACUACGGGCCAGCAGCCGGGGUAAUACGUAGGGGGCAGGCGUUAUCCGGAAUAAUUGGGGUUCAAGGGUCGGCAGGCGGGGGUGCAAGUCAGCGGUAAAAUUGCGGGGCUAACCCCCGUACUGCCGUUGAAACUGCAUCGCUUGAGUGCGCGAGAGGUAUGCAGAAUGCGAGGUGUAGCGGUGAAAUGCGUAGAGAUCACGCAGAACUCCGAUGGCGAAGGCAGCAUACCGGCGCGAAACUGACGCUCAUGCACGAAAGCGUGGGUAUCGAACAGGAUUAGAUACCCCAGUAGUC